GCCUGACUAGCUCAGCCGGUAGAGCAUGAGACUUUUAAUCUCAGGGUCAUGGGUUCGAGUACCAUGUUAGGCA
This 73-nucleotide transfer RNA is filed under the name Nothobranchius furzeri (turquoise killifish). RNAcentral's name for it is "tRNA-Lys (TTT) (tRNA-Lys-TTT-4-1)". It matches the Rfam family "tRNA". From Rfam's summary of the family: Transfer RNA (tRNA) molecules are approximately 80 nucleotides in length. Their secondary structure includes four short double-helical elements and three loops (D, anti-codon, and T loops). Lineage: Eukaryota; Metazoa; Chordata; Actinopteri; Cyprinodontiformes; Nothobranchiidae. The record is from Rfam by way of RNAcentral.